This 788-nucleotide long non-coding RNA is filed under the name Manihot esculenta (cassava). RNAcentral describes it as "long non-coding RNA (MESC_LNC006667)". The record is from RNAcentral. Lineage: Eukaryota; Viridiplantae; Streptophyta; Magnoliopsida; Malpighiales; Euphorbiaceae.
UUUUGGGGUGUAGUUUAGAGUUAUGUUCAUGUUUGCUUGGUCCCUCAUUUGAGUCCACCUGUGUAGGUUCGGACCCGAGGAACCGAGGACCCCAACAGUGAGUCAGCUGCUCCAGUGUCUGGUCAGAGCUACCCAGAGGUGAGUGGAAUAUCUCAUUAUGUUUUAAAGCAAAUGAUGGACUUUUUAGCAUAUUUCACGCAUCAUGAAUGCCAUGAGAUGUACUAGGUUGUUUGCAUUAGAAUUCACGAAUAUGUUGCAUUGUAUACUUUAUUGUUGAUUGAUGUGGAUGAACGUUGGAUGAUCCAAAGCCCUCGAUCUAUGAUAUGACGAUGUGAUAUGUACGGUACGGAAUGUAAGACCAGUGGGACCCAUUCUACAUUCGCUGGCACCAUGUAAGGGAAAGACCAGGACCCAUUCUACGUUCUGGCACAGUUGGACUGUUAUGUUAUGCUAUGUUAUGUAAGAGAAAGACCAGGACCCAUUCUACGUUCUGGCACAGUUAGACUAUGUAGAGGGCUAUUGGUGACAAGUUCAUCCUUGAUGUGAUUACCUGUGAUGUGAUGCAUUCCAUGAUGCCAUAUGAUUUAAAUGUUUUUAUUAUUCUGCUCACUAGGCUCUAGUAGCUCACCCCUCUCUCAUUUCCCCAGGAUUGCAGGUACAGGGUAGACCAGGAGAUCCGUAAGAGUAAUGAAGUCAAGUGUUUGUAAUAGAUAGUGUGGACAUGAUAAAUGUAUUAAUGUCAUGUAGAAGUACAGUUUUAGUCAUGCAAUGACUUUGAGGAUUAGAGG